CGGUGCGGAAGCCUGGUCUCCUCGCUUGGAGCGAGAGGUCUGCGCUUGGGAAGGCGAGGCUCGAGGCCGGCCGGCGGAGCUCUCAGGGACGCAGGGAGGUCAGGUUGGCAGCAGCCACUCUCUCUGCGGCUGUACCUGGGAGAUGGAAAGCAGAAGGCUGGCUCAAACCCUCCAAGACAGGUUGGCACCACUCCAGGGGUGAAUCCAGGCAAAGACUGGCCACAGACCACCCAAGCCUUACCAGGAAGUUUGCUGUCUUCUUAUCCCGCUGAGAUCUCUGCUCCUCUCCAGAUUUUCUCAACUCCUUCAGAUGCUCCAGCUGCUUCUGAAUUUGUUUCUGGAAAAAAAGAGCACUUGUCAAAGCUUGAACUUGGCUCCUGCCAUCUUGGUGCCAACUCUAGAUGGGAAAACUUGCUUCAGGGAAUAAAGCUGAAGGUGAGGAAGCCAAGAGCACAGGGAGAGGUACCCAGGAAAGAGGAAGAAUGAAUCCAUCACACCAAAGGAAGCAGAGCCAAGAGGCAGUGAGAAAGAUUUCUAAUGACCUCUUGUGAGCACCUGGGUUCAGCCAUACCUAAAGCUAGAUUCCCAUAGCUACAUGAACCAAUAAAUCCCUCUUUGCUGGCUUACUUUGUAUUGUGUUUGCCAUUUACAGCCCAAAGAUGCUGGCUAAUGCACCAACUCCCAGGGUUUUGGGGGAAAUGAAGCAAGCCCCGAUGUGUUCAAGUGCCCAUCAGAGAAGGACCCCAAUGCAGGAAGCCCUACCUUGUAUUCCAGGGCGGCCUCCUCGAUGGGGCGAACCCGGUGGCCUCGGUGCUCCUGACUCAGCCUGCAGAUGAGGCAGAUGGGUUCCCCGUGGUCCUCGCAGAAGAGCAGCUGGACCUGCUUCAUGUGACGCUCACACUGUGGCAGGGACUUGGGGCUCAGGCUGGCCAUCUGCAGGCCCUCCUGGCACUCGAGGCUUCCAUGGCUCUUCCCCGGGAGCAAGUCCUGGCACCGAGGGCAGCUGGAUGAGUAGCCACGUGAGACCUCAGGAUCCCUAGAAGCAACGGAGCAGCUGCAGGAAACAUGCACGCAGCUGCCACCAACCGGGUCUCCUUCCUGGGCACAGCAAAGGCGACAUACAGCCUUGUCCUGCAGUCUCCCUGGGGACAUAGCAGUGGAAAAAUCUCAUGAGUGACAAACCCAAGAUGUUACCAAGGAAUGCUGCAAAUCACAGCGAGAGUCCGUUCCUGGGAUACGUACAUUCUCGUGGUCUGGAACCAAACCCACGACGUGCCUGUACAUUCUGGCUAAGAGGAAGUAAAUGGAGGCAUCACGAGCAGCAUCUAGAAACUUCCGAAAACCUUCCCUAAGUGAUACUAUUCUCCUUUGUCCCUCCAUCCUGCUGCCUGGAAUGAGGAUGCCACCAUCUGAGAACACAACCUUGAGAGCAAACUCCAUAGAGCAGAAAAGCAGCAGGAGCUUGGGUUCCUGACCACGGUGUACCACAUUUGUCCUGGACCACCUGUGUGUCAUUUAUGUGAAAGAGGAACAAACGUCUAUCUUGUUUCAGUUAUGUUAUUUUGGCAUUUCUGUCAUUCACAACCCAUCACCAUCCUAAUUUCCGCCUCUUUAGUAAAAGAGACCUAGGACUUUAGCCAACAGUUCCCUCCCUGCCCAGACAGAGGCAAAUAGCAGAAUCGCAGCCCCAUGACAUACUGCCAUGAGGUAUUGUGAGAAGGUGAUAUUUGUACCCAGUCUUUCUCAGAUGUUCAACCUGGGGUCCAUGAAGCCCUUGGGAAUUCUAAAGAAGGACUUCUUUAGAGUGUCUAAGAACUAACUAACUGAAAUGUAUGCAACAUUUUUAUGAAAAUGUGCAGAUAUGCAUUUUUCAGGAUUCAGAGCCUACAUCAGAUUCUCAAAGUGUGGAGGACCUCAAGGGGGACCCAGAGGUCCAGUGAAAUGAAUACAGUGGGGAUAAAAGCAGGUUUGCAGGGGGAAACCUGCAAAGGUCAUCAUUCCUAAGGAUGCCAGGUCUUCUGGAUUCUGAGGUCCUUUCUUACCUGAAGAUGGAGGGACUUCUGGAUUUGAAGGAUCAUGGAGCACACCACCUACCACCUCCUCCAAGGCCUUAGAGGUCUUUGGAGCCUCAGUUCCACUCUUCUCUGCAGGUACUGUGGACU
Delphinapterus leucas (beluga whale) is the source of this 2162-nucleotide long non-coding RNA. RefSeq lists it as uncharacterized. The record is from RefSeq and is a predicted model, not a curated record. Lineage: Eukaryota; Metazoa; Chordata; Mammalia; Artiodactyla; Monodontidae.